UACGAAGGGGGCUAGCGUUGUUCGGAAUCACUGGGCGUAAAGGGCGCGUAGGCGGCCGAUCAAGUCGGGGGUGAAAGCCUGUGGCUCAACCACAGAAUUGCCUUCGAUACUGUUUGGCUUGAGACCGGAAGAGGUUAGUGGAACUGCGAGUGUAGAGGUGAAAUUCGUAGAUAUUCGCAAGAACACCAGUGGCGAAGGCGGCUUACUGGUCCGGAUCUGACGCUGAGGCGCGAAAGCGUGGGGAGCAAACAGG
This 253-nucleotide ribosomal RNA is filed under the name uncultured bacterium. RNAcentral's name for it is "partial 16S ribosomal RNA". It matches the Rfam family "Bacterial small subunit ribosomal RNA", at positions 524 to 776 of the family's 1533-position model. The record is from RNAcentral.